GACGAAGGGAGCUAGCGUUGUUCGGAAUCACUGGGCGUAAAGCGCACGUAGGCGGAUGUGUCAGUCAGGGGUGAAAUCCCGGAGCUCAACUUCGGAACUGCCUUUGAUACAGCACAUCUGGAGUCCGGAAGAGGUGGGUGGAAUUCCUAGUGUAGAGGUGAAAUUCGUAGAUAUUAGGAAGAACACCGGUGGCGAAGGCGGCCCACUGGUCCGGUACUGACGCUGAGGUGCGAAAGCGUGGGGAGCAAACAGG
This 253-nucleotide ribosomal RNA is filed under the name uncultured bacterium. RNAcentral describes it as "partial 16S ribosomal RNA". It matches the Rfam family "Bacterial small subunit ribosomal RNA", at positions 524 to 776 of the family's 1533-position model. The record is from RNAcentral.